UACAGAGGGUGCGAGCGUUAAUCGGAGUUACUGGGCGUAAAGGGUGCGUAGGAGGCUAUGUAAGUUGGAUGUGAAAUACCUGGGCUUAACCUGGGGGCUGCAUUCAAAACUGCAUGGCUAGAGUAAGGUAGAGGGAAGUGGAAUUUCCGGUGUAGCGGUGAAAUGCGUAGAUAUCGGAAGGAACACCAGUGGCGAAGGCGGCUUCCUGGACCUAUACUGACUCUGAGGCACGAAAGCGUGGGGAUCAAACAGG
Molecule: unclassified non-coding RNA, 253 nt
Filed under: uncultured Gammaproteobacteria bacterium
Lineage: Bacteria; Pseudomonadati; Pseudomonadota; Gammaproteobacteria
Description: contains 16S-23S intergenic spacer region
Rfam family: Bacterial small subunit ribosomal RNA
Source: RNAcentral